CCUUACCCCCAAUUUAAAGGCGCAGCAGGCGGGGCAACUUACCCAAUCCCAACACGGGGGAGGUAGUGACCAAUAAAUAACAAUACCGGGCAUUUUUGGUCUGGUAAUUGGAAUGAGUACAAUCUAAAUCCUUAACGAGUAUCCAUUGGAGGGCAAGUCUGGUGCCAGCAGCCCGCGGUAAUUCCAGCUCCAAUAGCGUAUAUUUAAGUUGUUGCAGUUAAAAAGCUCGUAGUUGGAUUUCGGGUGGGUUGUAGCGGUCAGCCUUUGGUUAGUACUGCUACGGCCCUACCUUUCUGCCGGGGACGAGCUCGUGGGCUUAACUGUCCGGGACUCGGAAUCGGCGAGGUUACUUUGAGUAAAUUAGAGUGUUCAAAGCAAGCCUACGCUCUGAAUACAUUAGCAUGGAAUAACACGAUAGGACUCUGGCUUAUCUUGUUGGUCUGUAAGACCGGAGUAAUGAUUAAGAGGGACAGUCGGGGGCAUUCGUAUUUCAUUGUCAGAGGUGAAAUUCUUGGAUUUAUGAAAGACGAACUUCUGCGAAAGCAUUUGCCAAGGAUGUUUUCAUUAAUCAAGAACGAAAGUUGGGGGCUCGAAGACGAUUAGAUACCGUCGUAGUCUCAACCAUAAACGAUGCCGACUAGGGAUUGGCAGGUGUUUCGUUGAUGACCCUGCCAGCACCUUAUGAGAAAUCAAAGUUUUUGGGUUCCGGGGGGAGUAUGGUCGCAAGGCUGAAACUUAAAGGAAUUGACGGAAGGGCACCACCAGGCGUGGAGCCUGCGGCUUAAUUUGACUCAACACGGGAAAACUUACCAGGUCCAGACACGGGGAGGAUUGACAGAUUGAGAGCUCUUUCUUGAUUCUGUGGGUGGUGGUGCAUGGCCGUUCUUAGUUGGUGGGUUGCCUUGUCAGGUUGAUUCCGGUAACGAACGAGACCUCAGCCUGCUAAAUAGUCACGUCUACCUCGGUAGGCGCCUGACUUCUUAGAGGGACUAUGGCGUAGCCAAUGAAUAC
Molecule: ribosomal RNA, 1011 nt
Filed under: Dunaliella tertiolecta
Lineage: Eukaryota; Viridiplantae; Chlorophyta; Chlorophyceae; Chlamydomonadales; Dunaliellaceae
Description: SSU rRNA
Rfam family: Eukaryotic small subunit ribosomal RNA
Source: RNAcentral